This 226-nucleotide unclassified non-coding RNA is filed under the name Paraglomus occultum. Its description in RNAcentral is "partial contains 5.8S ribosomal RNA and internal transcribed spacer 2". The stretch from base 1 to 65 matches the Rfam family "5.8S ribosomal RNA", at positions 84 to 154 of the family's 154-position model. The record is from RNAcentral. Lineage: Eukaryota; Fungi; Glomeromycota; Glomeromycetes; Paraglomerales; Paraglomeraceae.
GUGAAUCAUCAAAUUUUUGAACGCAAAUUGCGCCUUUUUCGGAAGGCAUGUCUGUUUGAGGGCACCAUUUAACAAAUAAUGUGCAGCGUUUUUUGUUGGACACGUUUAUUAGCGUUCCAAGAAGUUUAAAUUUUUGGUGGCGCAUAAUGAACAGCGUGAAAUUUUUCUUCAGUUCAAGUGUAGUAAAAUCUUUUCUUUGGUUGUGAAAGAACAUAAUCGUGCAAUG